Callithrix jacchus (white-tufted-ear marmoset) is the source of this 106-nucleotide small nucleolar RNA. The record is from Ensembl. NCBI's taxonomy places the organism in Eukaryota, Metazoa, Chordata, Mammalia, Primates, Cebidae.
AUUUCUUUUUAGUUCAUAAGCACAAUGAUUGCGUGUUCAUGCAUGCUUGUGUGAGAUGUGAUACCCUCGAACCUUGUGAAGACAUUGGCACAUUACCAGUCUGACA